RNAcentral lists this long non-coding RNA (1422 nucleotides) under Homo sapiens (human). Its description in RNAcentral is "HSALNT0143419". The record is from RNAcentral. Lineage: Eukaryota; Metazoa; Chordata; Mammalia; Primates; Hominidae.
CUUUUCCUUUGCCUUCUGCCAUGAUUGUAAGUUUCCUGAGGCCUUCCCAGCGAUGUGGAACUGAAACCACACAUUCAAAAUAAUGCUAACCUGUCAAGUUAUUGAUCUGCACUGUACAUAUUUCCUGGUCAUAGGCAGCUUCCACACAAGAACAUCUGGAUGCAAAUUAAAGAAUUCAAUUACUCAAGCCUAAGUGAUAGAGGAGACCUCGGCUACUCUGCCUGAGCACAUCACUGCUGGAUCUCAAAAUCUGCAAGAACUUCCUAGGGCUUCAGGAACUUUCAUGUGCAUACCAGUCACCUGGGAAUCUUGUUACGAUGCAUAUUCUUUUUCAGUAAGCCCAAAUUCUGCAAUUCUUAUAAGGUCUUAGGGGACAUGAUGUUUGCUUCUAGUGGUCCAUGGUCUACUCCUGAAGGUCCACCAUGCCCAGCUUCAUCUCCCCACCCUCUGGAAACUCUCCUGUACCCAAGCCACUUGCUCUCUUCUAAAUAGGCAUUGUGUUCCCAUGUUCCCAUGUGUCUGCCUCUUUCAACUUCUCCUCUAAAAAUUCUCCAUGACCCCCAAGCAUAAGCCUCCAGCAGCAAGCUCAAAAAUGCUUUCUACUCUGUUGUGUUGCCCGGCCCACUUCAAGAGUAGAUGCUCAAUUCCUUCUUCCCCUAGUCGUAUUUGCUGCUACUUUUGCAGGCUGCUGGAACACUUUCACUCUGAGGAUUCUGAUGAACACAGUUCUUGCCCUCUUCACUUUUCCAAUCUGGUUGCAGGCACAGCGGGGGACAGCAGGAGUGCAACACAGUAACUUAAUAUAAUAUGGAGCUGCUAUUAUGGAGGGAAACAUUCACUGCUCUGAAAGGACUCAACAGCUGAGUCUUAAAGAAGGAUUUUACAAGAUUGACAAAGAAAUGGGUUAUCUCCAGAUAGGAAGGAAAAAUCACAAGGAAUAGUACAGCAAGGAAAGAGGAAACAGCACUGGACUUGGGGAAAAGGGAAAUCCUUGAGAUGUUGCUAAGGCAUAAAGAGCAAGACAGAGAGUGUCAGAAGAUGACACUGACGUCACCUGACUCCUGCUGCUGAGCUUCUCUGACAUUUUCUCAAGGGCUCAAGGCUUGGAUACCCUCUGAUAUGGUUUAUCUGUGUCCCCGCCCAAAUCUCACCUUGGUUUGUAAUCAUCUCCAUGUGUCAAGAAUGGGACCAGGUGGAGAUAAUUGAAUCAUGGGGGCAGUUUCCCACAUACUGUUCACAUGGUAGUAAAUAAGUCUCAUGAGCUCUGAUGGUUUUAUAAAUGGGAGUUCCCCUGCACAGGCUCUUUUUGCCUGCCACCAUGGAAGACACCCCUUUGCCCUUCCUUUAUUUUCUGCCACAAUUGUGAGGCCUCCCUAGCUAUGUGGAAUUGUGAGUGCAUUAAACCUCUUUCCUUUACAAAAU